AUUGAACGCUGGCGGCAGGCCUAACACAUGCAAGUCGAGCGGAUGAGAGGAGCUUGCUCCUCGAUUUAGCGGCGGACGGGUGAGUAAUGCCUAGGAAUCUGCCUAGUGGUGGGGGAUAACGUUCCGUAAGGAACGCUAAUACCGCAUACGUCCUACGGGAGAAAGCGGGGGAUCUUCGGACCUCGCGCCAUUAGAUGAGCCUAGGUCGGAUUAGCUAGUUGGUGAGGUAAAGGCUCACCAAGGCGACGAUCCGUAACUGGUCUGAGAGGAUGAUCAGUCACACUGGAACUGAGACACGGUCCAGACUCCUACGGGAGGCAGCAGUGGGGAAUGUUGGACAAUGGGCGAAAGCCUGAUCCAGCCAUGCCGCGUGUGUGAAGAAGGUCUUCGGAUUGUAAAGCACUUUAAGUUGGGAGGAAGGGUAUUCACCUAAUACGUGAGUAUUUUGACGUUACCGACAGAAUAAGCACCGGCUAACUUCGUGCCAGCAGCCGAC
RNAcentral lists this ribosomal RNA (496 nucleotides) under uncultured bacterium. Its description in RNAcentral is "bacterial SSU rRNA". It matches the Rfam family "Bacterial small subunit ribosomal RNA", at positions 30 to 518 of the family's 1533-position model. The record is from RNAcentral.